Gorilla gorilla gorilla (western lowland gorilla) is the source of this 514-nucleotide long non-coding RNA. RefSeq lists it as uncharacterized. Lineage: Eukaryota; Metazoa; Chordata; Mammalia; Primates; Hominidae. The transcript is spliced from 3 exons. The record is from RefSeq and is a predicted model, not a curated record.
CCAAAGGCCCGACGGCCCAGCCCCCCGGUGGCAGGUGGCCUUUCCAUGGCUGAGGUCACACACCCAGCAUCGCAUCCUGCCCUUCUCGGGGCCUCGGGCCCCUUCGACUCGUCUCCAGGGAUUGCACUUGCUCCUGCUGCCCACAGAGGUUUCCUUCCUGUGAUUCCACUCGGAGGGGGCGCUUUUCUUUGCUGGCUUCAACCAUCACAGAGCUGCAUUGUGUUCGCCGGCAGCUGCCACGCUUCCCUGAAAAGGCAGCUUCUGUUCUGCUGGAGAUGAGCUGAUUUGCCUGGCAGCCAACUUAAACAAGGAGGCAAGAAAACAGCAUAGACUGGGCUCCCAAAUACAUCUACAUGGAUUUAAUGGACACGGGUAUAAUGAAGGGCAAAGUGCCUAAUGAUAUAAUUGACAUAGAAAAGGAAAGUAAGAAGAGAUACUGGAGGGAAGGGAGAGGAAAAAAGGCAAACGUGGAGCAAUGAAUUACAGGAGAACAGGAAGAAGAAGAGAAAAGAAA